CUCCCCUCGUCUCGGCACAGCCCGACAUCUCGCGAAAUUUCUAGAAUUUUCACUCCCCGAGUCAAAACCUUUGACCAGAACAAGCGCUACCAUCCGCCGGAAGUUUCUCACACUCUCUCCGACACAAAAAAGCUGCCACCCAACGCCGCCGUGUCUCUCUCUAGAAUUCUCCUCUCCCGUUCUUAUAUACCACCUCGCUUUCUCUCUCUUCGCCCCCAACAAUCUCGUUCUCCUCCGUCUUCUCCCCCGCACUGCCACUUACCAGAGUCGCCACCGCGCUUUCUCUCUCUGUCUCUCUCUCUCUAACAGUGCUCACCACCCACGCCGACAAUGGUACCAAGAUCAAGAAUCGCAUAGCCGACCGGAAGAGGAAAGAAACCCAAGAAACGCCGCCGCCGCCGCCGAUGGAGAGGGUGAUCGUGAUCAAAGAAGAAGACCGAGACCAAGAACGCGAAGAUGUGAUCGUGUGCUCGACUGGGUCGUCGUCGUCGUCGGGCUCGGCCGCUGCUGCUGCUCCGAGGCCGAUGGAGGGGCUCCACGAGGUAGGCCCGCCGCCGUUCCUGAUGAAGACGUUCGAGAUGGUGGAGGACCCGUCGACGGACGCGGUGGUGUCGUGGAGCGGGGCGAAGAACAGCUUCAUCGUGUGGGACUCCCACCGGUUCGCCUCCACCCUGCUCCCCAAGUACUUCAAGCACGGCAACUUCUCCAGCUUCAUCCGGCAGCUCAACACUUACGGAUUUAGGAAGGUGGAUCCAGACAGAUGGGAAUUCGCGAAUGAAGGUUUCUUGGGAGGGCAGAAGCAUCUGCUCAAGACCAUCAAGAGGAGGAGGAACGUCCCGCAGAAUCAGCAGCAGCAUGGAGCCACGGCCUGCGUCGAACUGGGACAGUUCGGAUUGGAAGGCGAGCUCGAGAGGUUGACACGAGACCGCAACUUGUUGAUGUCUGAAAUCGCGAAGCUGAAGCAGCAGCAACAGCACUCGAUGGAGCUGAUUGCAGCAAUGGAAGAUAGGUUGCAGAGAACAGAGAAUAAGCAGCAGCAGAUGCUGACUUUCCUCGCCAAAGCGCUCAGUAACCCAUCUUUCGUUCAGAACUUGGCACAAAGAAAGGAAUUGCAAAGUCUCGGCAUCGGAAAGAAGCGGAGAUUGACUGCUAGCCCGAGCUUGGAGAAUUUGCAAGCAGACCAAGAUCUAGAAGAGCUGGGGCCGAUUGAAUCCGAUAUGGAGACACUUCUCUAUGGUGCCUUGGAGAAUGAAUCAAGCAUCGACAUUGAAGACCCACUUGGAAGUUCGAUGCCAGGGACCAACGGUGAUGAGCUGGAUUCUGUGAACGAGACGAUCUGGGAGGAACUAUUGAAUGAGGACGCAAUUCCGGAGGAAGAGUGGCCACUCGGCGACGAAUCGGAUUUCGAGGUGGAUGUGGAGGAUUUGGUCGAGAACCCUCCGGAUUGGGGAGAGGACUUGAAUGAGCUGGCGGACCAAAUAGGUUAUCUCAGAUCGAAGCCAUGAUCGAUGUCACUGAACUAGUCCUCCUCUGCAACACCAUUCCUGACUAUAAUGAAGAUUUGUGGUAGGUCAAAUAAAUCCAUGUCCUUUAUAAGUGUGUUAUUAAAUAUGUGUGUGCGUGCUAGUCUGGCUUGUCAUCUAAUAGGAGAGUGUUGAGCAGGAGGGAAUGGUUGAAGUUGCAGAGGGGGCCAAAUCAAAUGUUGCUUGAAUGCUUUGCUGGUUUCUCUGUAUCCUUGAUAAUUUUUUGAUUUGUCUAGCAUUCUGAUGGCGAACUCAGUUAAAAGACUCGUUGAAGCCACCAAAUUUACACGCCCAGAUCAUGGUCCCUCCAAUUUGUUUCAUUCAUCCCACCAAAUCUUAGAUGUACAGAUUUGUUUGUUCAUGUAAAUUUUGGUUAAUUGAACCAGCAGAUUCAUAUUAAAAAAGUGGCCGUUCUAUAUA
This is an RNA transcript of Eucalyptus grandis, 1943 nucleotides long. It is a transcript of the gene named heat shock factor protein HSF30, with no coding region annotated. The transcript has 3 exons. NCBI's taxonomy places the organism in Eukaryota, Viridiplantae, Streptophyta, Magnoliopsida, Myrtales, Myrtaceae. The record is from RefSeq and is a predicted model, not a curated record.